GCUCGGCGCAAACGCGGAUGCUGAAACUUGGGCUCCUCUUCUCCGUCCUCGGUCUCGUCCAUCUCAACGUUGGUGGCCACACCGGGCUGCUCAGCGGUCGGUGCUCUAGAGGAGCCGGUGUCCAGACAGCUGUGGCCGCUGUUGCUCCUGGUGCAUGUGGACGCGGCUGCAGCCUCAGCAACUCAGCUGCACCCAGGUUAGUUAAUUUCCUGGUGGAGAGGCAGUGGCACGCAAACAGCACAACACAGGAGCAGAACACAACUCUAAUGGCCUUACUCGUGUGAAGCACCAGACACAGCCAACUCUCUUCAUGAGGAAAACAUGAAGAAAUAGCUACCUUUUUAUACGACAAAAAAAAAGAAUGUAUUAUGUGACUAUGUGGAUGUGCAUUUCCUUCUGUGAACCAGUUUACUGCACCAUUCAAUACCCUGGUAAAGGAGAAGAUACAUGUGUGCGUGGUGUCUGAUGACAAAAAAAACAGUAUCUACAACUCACAACCAUGUUCUAAUUUUUUAUAUCUGUUCAUCAGUCUCCUCCAACUUUGAAAUAUUGAACAGGAAUUAUGGUCUGAAUCCACACAGCAAGUGCAGGAAUAAUACUCAUACCACCACCUACUGGCAACAGGAAAUUGUUUCAAAAUUGUUUUUUUUUUGUGACAAGAUUCACUUCAGUGUCCAAAAAAGCCAUAAGCCCUUGUUGAGGAGUUACACCUCUGACACAAGGUGUUUGAGGGGAUGUCUAAGACAUGUUUAGGACAUUUGAUGACUGUAGAACUUUCCAGCAGGCAAAACUAUCACUCUAUUUAUUGUUAUAUGUGACAGAUAUUAUGUUUAAGAUAACCUCCAGUCUGUGUUUGGAGCAUGCGCUGUUCUAAUUAAAGCUUGGUUGGUAUCAAAACA
This is a long non-coding RNA of Solea senegalensis (Senegalese sole), 899 nucleotides long. RefSeq lists it as uncharacterized. The transcript has 2 exons. The record is from RefSeq and is a predicted model, not a curated record. Lineage: Eukaryota; Metazoa; Chordata; Actinopteri; Pleuronectiformes; Soleidae.